UGGGUUUGACAUAUGGAGAAAUCCUCCAGAGAUGGGGGGUCCUUUUUGGGCUCCAUACAGGUGGUGCAUGGCUGUCGUCAGCUCGUGUCGUGAGAUGUUGGGUUAAGUCCCGCAACGAGCGCAACCCUCGUCCUAUGUUGCCAGCGGGUCAUGCCGGGGACUCAUAGGAGACUGCCGGGGUCAACUCGGAGGAAGGUGGGGAUGACGUCCUGGAAGCAAGCU
Molecule: unclassified non-coding RNA, 222 nt
Filed under: uncultured Propionibacteriales bacterium
Lineage: Bacteria; Bacillati; Actinomycetota; Actinomycetes; Propionibacteriales
Description: contains 16S-23S intergenic spacer region
Rfam family: Bacterial small subunit ribosomal RNA
Source: RNAcentral